GUGUUGUAUGAGCCGAGAGAAGGUCAGCGGCUCCCUGGACCAAGGACGAGCAUUCAACAUCAACCUAGGUUAAGCCUUGCAUUGUCUUUGACAUGCAUCUAAACCACCAGUAUUU
Molecule: non-coding RNA, 115 nt
Filed under: Capsaspora owczarzaki ATCC 30864
Lineage: Eukaryota; Filasterea; Ministeriida; Capsasporidae
Source: RNAcentral